ACAUCAGUAGCAAAGUGCAGUCUGCCGGAAACAGAAAGACGCGGGUUCAAUUCCCGUCCGAUGUC
This 65-nucleotide transfer RNA is filed under the name Nippostrongylus brasiliensis. It matches the Rfam family "tRNA". From Rfam's summary of the family: Transfer RNA (tRNA) molecules are approximately 80 nucleotides in length. Their secondary structure includes four short double-helical elements and three loops (D, anti-codon, and T loops). The record is from Rfam by way of RNAcentral. Lineage: Eukaryota; Metazoa; Nematoda; Chromadorea; Rhabditida; Heligmosomidae.